RNAcentral lists this ribosomal RNA (262 nucleotides) under uncultured bacterium. RNAcentral describes it as "partial 16S ribosomal RNA". It matches the Rfam family "Bacterial small subunit ribosomal RNA", at positions 793 to 1055 of the family's 1533-position model. The record is from RNAcentral.
GUCCACGCCGUAAACGUUGGGCGCUAGGUGUGGGGCUCAUUCCACGAGUUCCGUGCCGCAGCUAACGCAUUAAGCGCCCCGCCUGGGGAGUACGGCCGCAAGGCUAAAACUCAAAGGAAUUGACGGGGGCCCGCACAAGCGGCGGAGCAUGUUGCUUAAUUCGAUGCAACGCGAAGAACCUUACCUAGGCUUGACAUGCACGGAAAUCUCCCAGAGAUGGGGGGUCCGUAAGGGCCGUGCACAGGUGGUGCAUGGUUGUCGU